This is a long non-coding RNA of Eriocheir sinensis (Chinese mitten crab), 1374 nucleotides long. RefSeq lists it as uncharacterized. Lineage: Eukaryota; Metazoa; Arthropoda; Malacostraca; Decapoda; Varunidae. The transcript is spliced from 4 exons. The record is from RefSeq and is a predicted model, not a curated record.
AUGGGUUGGUAAUGGGACUGGUGGAUAGGGGAAGGAUUGGUAAUGGAACUGGUGGAGAGGGGAAGGAUUGGUAAUGGGACUGGUGGAUAGGGAAAGGAUUGGUAAUGGGACUGGUGAAGAGGGGAAGGAUUGGUAAUGGGACUGGUGGAUAGGGGAAGGGUUGGUAAUGGGACUGGUGGAUAGGGGAAGGGUUGAUAAUGGGACUGGUGGAUAGGGGAAGGAUUGGUAAUGGGACUGGUGGAGAGGGGAAAGAUUGGUAAUGGGACUGGUGGAUAGGGGAAGGAUUGGUAAUGGGACUGGUGGAUAUGGGAAGGAUUAGUAAUGGGACUGGUGGAUAGGGUAGGGUUGGUAAUGGGACUGGUGGAUAGGGGAAAGAUUGGUAAUGGGACUGGUGGAUAGGGUAGGGUUGGUAAUGGGACUGGUGGAUAGGGGAAGGAUUGGUAAUGGGACUGGUGGAUAGGGGAAGGGUUGGUAAUGGGACUGGUGGAUAGGGGAAGGAUUGGUAUUGGGACUGGUGGAGAGGGGAAGGAUUGGUAAUGGGACUGGUGAAGCGGGGAAGGAUUGGUAAUGGGACUGGUGGAUAGGGAGAAAGGUGAAGAAGAGAGGGAUUGGAGGGGAAAAGGGAAGAAGAGGAGGAAGAUUGGAGGGAAAAAGGUGAGGAAGAGGAGGAAGAUUGGAGGGAAAAAGGUGAGGAAGAGGAGGAAGAUUGGAGGGAAAAAGGUGAGGAAGAGGAGGAAGAUUGGAGGGAAAAAGGUGAGGAAGAGGAGGAAGAUUGGAGGGAAAAAGGUGAGGAAGAGGAGGAAGAUUGGAGGGAAAAAGGUGAGGAAGAGGAGGAAGAUUGGAGGGAAAAAGGUGAGGAAGAGGAGGAAGAUUGGAGGGAAAAAGGUGAGGGAGAGGAGGAAGAUUGGAGGGAAAAAGGUGAGGAAGAUUGGAGGGAAUUAGGUGAGGAAGAGGAGGAAGAUUGGAGGGAAAAAGGUGAGGAAGAGGAGGAAGAUUGGAGGGAAGAAGGUGAGGAAGAGGAGGAAGAUUGGAGGGAAAAAGGUGAAGAGGAGGAAGAUUGGAGGGAAAAAGGUGAGGGAGAGGAGGAAGAUUGGAGGAAAAAAGGUGAAGAGGAGGAAGAUUGGAGGGAAAAAGGUGAGGAAGAUUGGAGGGAAAUAGGUGAGGAAGAGGAGGAAGAUUGGAGGGAAGAAGGUGAGGAAGAUUGGAGGGAAGAAGGUGAGGAAAAGGAAGAUUUGUUGGAGAAAAAAGAGGAAAAUGGGUUUGGAAAAGAAGAGGAAGAGGAAGUUUGGAGGGAAAAGAAGAGGAAGAGGAAAAUGGGUUGGGAAAAGAGAAAGAGGUAGAUUGGUUGAGAAAAGAAGAGGAAGAUUGGGUGGC